RNAcentral lists this ribosomal RNA (334 nucleotides) under uncultured eukaryote. RNAcentral describes it as "partial 18S ribosomal RNA". It matches the Rfam family "Eukaryotic small subunit ribosomal RNA", at positions 1470 to 1796 of the family's 1831-position model. The record is from RNAcentral.
CCCUUAGAUGUCCGGGGCCGCACGCGCGCUACACUGAAGGAAUCAGCGUGGCUUUCUCCCUGACCCGAAAGGGUUGGGAAACCCGUUGAAUCUCCUUCGUGAUAGGGAUUGGGGCUUGAAAUUGUUCCCCAUGAACGAGGAAUUCCCAGUAAGCGCGAGUCAUAAGCUCGCGUUGAUUACGUCCCUGCCCGUUGUACACACCGCCCGUCGCUACUACCGAUUGAACGGUUUAGUGAGGGCCUCGGAUUGGUCUCGGCCCGCUCUUUACCGGGCGGCGCCGUUGGUCGAGAAGACGCUCGAACUUGAUCGUUUAGAGGAAGUAAAAGUCGUAACA